Molecule: ribosomal RNA, 113 nt
Filed under: Rhodanobacter sp. DHG33
Lineage: Bacteria; Pseudomonadati; Pseudomonadota; Gammaproteobacteria; Lysobacterales; Rhodanobacteraceae
Source: RNAcentral
CCUGGCGGCCAUAGCGCUGUGGUCCCACCCGAUCCCAUCCCGAACUCGGAAGUGAAACGCAGCCGCGCCGAUGGUAGUGUGCAUUUGCAUGCAAGAGUAGGUCACCGCCAGGG